GGAUGUGAGGGUGAUCUGGCUGCGACAUCUCUCACCCCAUUGAUUGCCAGUGUUGAUUAAACUGAUCUGGCUGGCUAGGUGGAUGUCCACUUCCUCCCUCACUGCUCCACCUGCGUCCCUCCCGAAUUCGAGCACACUAGGUCUAAGAGAACAGCCUUCCCAGAGUAGAGGAGGACCAGUUUUCAGUCAAGGGUAUAACCGCUGCACUCUCCUGCUAGAACCAUCAAUUCCUAGCAACCACAUGGUGGCUCACAACCAUCUGUAAUGGGAUCCGAUGUGCUCUUCUGGUGUGUCUGAUGACAGUAAAACAUAAAACAAUAAAUCUUUUAAAAUUUUUUU
RNAcentral lists this small nuclear RNA (339 nucleotides) under Mus pahari (shrew mouse). RNAcentral describes it as "sRNA (MGP_PahariEiJ_G0008250.1)". The stretch from base 1 to 276 matches the Rfam family "7SK RNA". From Rfam's summary of the family: 7SK was discovered as an abundant small nuclear RNA in the mid-70s but a possible function has only recently been suggested. Two independent studies have found that 7SK RNA binds the CDK9/cyclin T complex (known as elongation factor P-TEFb). The record is from RNAcentral. Lineage: Eukaryota; Metazoa; Chordata; Mammalia; Rodentia; Muridae.